CGANACNGGNAGCCNUANAACACAUGCAAGUCGAACGAUGAACUCCAGCUUGCUGGGGGGAUUAGUGGCGAACGGGUGAGUAACACGUGAGUAACCUGCCCUUGACUCUGGGAUAAGCGCUGGAAACGGCGUCUAAUACCGGAUACGAGCUUCAGCCGCAUGGCUAGGAGUUGGAAAGAAUUUCGGUCAAGGAUGGACUCGCGGCCUAUCAGCUAGUUGGUGAGGUAAUGGCUCACCAAGGCGACGACGGGUAGCCGGCCUGAGAGGGUGACCGGCCACACUGGGACUGAGACACGGCCCAGACUCCUACGGGAGGCAGCAGUGGGGAAUAUUGCACAAUGGGCGAAAGCCUGAUGCAGCAACGCCGCGUGAGGGAUGACGGCCUUCGGGUUGUAAACCUCUUUUAGUAGGGAAGAAGCGAAAGUGACGGUACCUGCAGAAAAAGCACCGGCUAACUACGUGCCAGCAGCCGCGGUAAUACGUAGGGUGCAAGCGUUGUCCGGAAUUAUUGGGCGUAAAGAGCUCGUAGGCGGUUUGUCGCGUCUGCUGUGAAAUCUGGGGGCUCAACCCCCAGCCUGCAGUGGGUACGGGCAGACUAGAGUGCGGUAGGGGNAGAUUGGAAUUCCUGGUGUAGCNGNGGGAAUGCGCAGAUAUCAGGAGGAACACCGAUGGCGAANGCAGAUCUCUGGGNCCGUAACUGACGCUGANGAGCGAAAGCGUGGGGAGCGAACAGGAUUAGA
RNAcentral lists this ribosomal RNA (740 nucleotides) under Frigoribacterium sp. TRL-3.1. Its description in RNAcentral is "bacterial SSU rRNA". It matches the Rfam family "Bacterial small subunit ribosomal RNA", at positions 31 to 782 of the family's 1533-position model. Lineage: Bacteria; Bacillati; Actinomycetota; Actinomycetes; Micrococcales; Microbacteriaceae. The record is from RNAcentral.